RNAcentral lists this ribosomal RNA (253 nucleotides) under uncultured bacterium. RNAcentral's name for it is "partial 16S ribosomal RNA". It matches the Rfam family "Bacterial small subunit ribosomal RNA", at positions 524 to 776 of the family's 1533-position model. The record is from RNAcentral.
UACGAAGGGGGCUAGCGUUGCUCGGAAUCACUGGGCGUAAAGGGCGCGUAGGCGGAUCUUUAAGUCAGGGGUGAAAGCCUGAGGCUCAACCUCAGAAUUGCCUUUGAUACUGAAGAUCUUGAGUCCGGAAGAGGUAAGUGGAACUGCGAGUGUAGAGGUGAAAUUCGUAGAUAUUCGCAAGAACACCAGUGGCGAAGGCGGCUUACUGGUCCGGUUCUGACGCUGAGGCGCGAAAGCGUGGGGAGCAAACAGG